Molecule: long non-coding RNA, 662 nt
Organism: Vespula pensylvanica (western yellowjacket)
Lineage: Eukaryota; Metazoa; Arthropoda; Insecta; Hymenoptera; Vespidae
Exons: 3
Source: RefSeq, a predicted model, not a curated record
UACAAAGAAAGAGACGCGUCGUGAGCAGCUCAUUACUUUGUGAACUUCUACAGACGAAAGUUAAGUUUUCCAUGGUGAAGAGUUCAAAAAUUAUUUGUCUCCUGCAAUCACUACUAGUUUGUUGUGCAUUACAUUUCCUCUUACGAAGAAAAGAUAGUCAGCGAAAUGUGAUUGUGAGGAUUAAUAUUUGCAAAUAAUAAUAUCAUCGCAUAAUAUCAUAGUCUUUGCUGCUGUUAAUCAUCAUGCCUAUGUCUACUUUCAGUCUAUUAUAUGUGUCAUUAAUUUGGAGAUGAUUAUUAAUAAGACUCUGAAUGAUAAGAAGUACGGAAGAAAUGGUUAGUCCAUUUUCUAACAUAAUGUUGUAAAUUUAAUUGUAUCAUUCAUUAUUAUCCACUGAUGUUCUGAUUUAUCAAGUUUGAAUACUUAAUUUCACACUCGUUCUAUUCAUUAGAAUAGACAUAAUUGCAUAUCUAUUGUGUGUUAGCCUUUCAUAUAAUAGUAAGAACCAUACUCUAUGGGGAAAUUUUGAAUUAAUUUUUGUUUCUUUAAACCUAAUUGCUCUUGUUUUUCGAUUAAAGCAACUGUAAUAACGCUAGAGUGACCAAAAUAUUGCACGAUUUUAUACUUUAGCGAUCAGAAAUAAGAGAUUUUAAAUUUAUAUU